GCUGGGUGUGGUGGCUCAUGCCUGUGGUCCCACAUACUCUGGAGGCUGAGGUGGGAGGAUCACCUGAGCCCAGGAGGUCAGGGCUGCAGUAAGCCAAGAUGGCACCACUGCACUCCAGCCUGGGCGACAGAGUGAGAUCUUAUCUUUA
RNAcentral lists this non-coding RNA (148 nucleotides) under Pan paniscus (pygmy chimpanzee). The record is from Rfam by way of RNAcentral. Lineage: Eukaryota; Metazoa; Chordata; Mammalia; Primates; Hominidae. RNAcentral also lists the same sequence under 1 other name.